This 692-nucleotide ribosomal RNA is filed under the name uncultured bacterium. RNAcentral's name for it is "bacterial SSU rRNA". It matches the Rfam family "Bacterial small subunit ribosomal RNA", at positions 136 to 823 of the family's 1533-position model. The record is from RNAcentral.
CAGGGGGAUAAGNGNAAGAAAUUCCGUCUAAUACCGCGUAAUAACUCCGAGAGGCAUCUCAUGGGGUUUAAAGGGUGACACCGGCUACGGAUGGCCAUGCGGCGCAUUAGCUAGUUGGCGGGGUGACGGCCCACCAAGGCGACGAUGCGUAGGGGUUCUGAGAGGAAGGUCCCCCACACUGGUACUGAGACACGGACCAGACUCCUACGGGAGGCAGCAGUGAGGAAUAUUGGUCAAUGGGCGCGAGCCUGAACCAGNCAAGUCGCGUGAGGGAAGACGGUCCUAUGGAUUGUAAACCUCUUUUGUCGGGGAGCAAAAGACNCCACGUGUGGCGUUCCGAGAGUACCCGAAGAAAAAGCAUCGGCUAACUCCGUGCCAGCAGCCGCGGUAAUACGGAGGAUGCGAGCGUUNUCCGGAUUUAUUGGGUUUAAAGGGUGCGCANGCGGAAGAUCAAGUCAGCGGNAAAAUUGAGAGGNUCAACCUCUUCGAGCCGUUGAAACUGGUUUUCUUGAGUGAGCGAGAAGUAUGCGGAAUGCGUGGUGUAGCGGUGAAAUGCAUAGAUAUCACGCAGAACUCCGAUUUGCGAAGGCAGCAUACCCGGCGNUCAACUGACGCUCAUGCACGAAAGUGUGGGUAUCGAACAGGAUUAGAUACCCUGGUAGUCCACACAGUAAACGAUGAAUACUAAUUGU